Molecule: non-coding RNA, 30 nt
Filed under: Homo sapiens (human)
Lineage: Eukaryota; Metazoa; Chordata; Mammalia; Primates; Hominidae
Source: RNAcentral
UGAAGCAAUUCCACUGGGGUUCGAGGCCAU